GUCUCUUCGGGGAUGAUUAAACCGGCGCACGGGCGAGUAACACGUGAGUGACCUGCCUUUUAGACUGGAACAACUUACCGAAAGGUGAGCUAAUGCCGGAUGAGUUAUAUAAGUGCAUGUUUAUAUAGGAAAAGUUGGGGAGACCUGACGCUGAAAGAUGGACUCGCGUCCCAUUAGCUAGUUGGUAGGGUAAUGGCCUACCAAGGCGACGAUGGGUAGCCGGCCUGAGAGGGUGGCCGGCCACACUGGGACUGAGACACGGCCCAGACUCCUACGGGAGGCAGCAGUGGGGAAUUUUGCGCAAUGCUCGUAAGAGUGACGCAGCGACGCCGCGUGAAUGACGAAGGCCUUCGGGUCGUAAAGUUCUUUCGACAGGGAAGAAAAUGCCUAUAAGUAACUGUGUAUGUAUUGACGGUACCUGUAUAAGCAGCCCCGGCUAACUCCGUGCCAGCAGCCGCGGUAAUACGGAGGGGGCGAGCGUUGUUCGGAGUGACUGGGCGUAAAGAGCACGUAGGCGGUGUUGUAAGUCAUUAGUCAAAGACUAGAGCUCAACUUUAGUAAGGCUAGUGAUACUAUAAUACUAGAGUAUCAGAGAGGAUUGCAGAAUUCCUGGUGUAGCGGUGAAAUGCGUAGAUAUCAGGAGGAAUACCGUUAGCGAAGGCGGCAAUCUGGCUGGAAACUGACGCUGAGGUGCGAAAGCGUGGGUAGCAAACAGGAUUAGAUACCCUGGUAGUCCACGCUGUAAACGAUGGAUGCUAGGUGUUGGGCUUUUAAGUUCAGUGCCGCAGCAAACGCGAUAAGCAUCCCGCCUGGGG
RNAcentral lists this ribosomal RNA (815 nucleotides) under uncultured bacterium. RNAcentral's name for it is "bacterial SSU rRNA". It matches the Rfam family "Bacterial small subunit ribosomal RNA", at positions 74 to 878 of the family's 1533-position model. The record is from RNAcentral.